AUGGCCAACAGAGUAAAUUACACGGCGCUGGCGCCCAGAGAGUCGCCGGCCAGGCCGACGACGCUGCACGACAUCCCCGACAAGCUCCUCAAGAUCAUCCUCUUGUACCUCACCUCACCCCAAUGGCUCGUCCGAGCUGCGGCCACCUGCAAGCAAUGGCGCCGCAUCAUCGUUGACGCAAACUUCCUCUCCUACAUUGAUUCCAGCCCCCAUCCCUCAUCUCUUGUUGCAGGCCAUUAUCAUAACCACACAUCCCCUGUUGACGGUCGCCGCCUCAGCUUUGUUCCUUCCUCGCCAGCGCCGGCUGUCAGGAGCCGCCACUUCUCCCUGGACUUCCUCCCUGCAGGCGGCAGAAGGUCAUGGGAGAUUGUUGAUAGCCGCCACACCCUCCUCCUCCUUGCCAAGAAGAAGAUUGGGUGGAGACGUCAUACCUUGCCUGACCUCGUAGUCUGCGAGCCCCUCACACGACGUUACCAACUAAUCCCACGCAUGGAGGAAAAGAAAUACCACCGAUGCAUUGGUGUAUUCCUCCAUGGUUUCAAUGACAGAGGAGAUACCUCACGGUGGGGCCGUGCCAUCGAUGAAAUGUCGAGUUUCAGAGUGAUUUGCCUGCUCUUCAAUGAUCACAUCGGGGUAUGUGAUAACAUUGGCACGGCGAAUGCCUACGCGUUCGAAGAGGGGUGGAGGGGGAAGCGUGCCAGCUGGUUCAUCGUCAAGUACCCAGAGAGGGCCAGUCCUGAAUUCCACUUCCAUGCCACGGAAUCCCUGCAUUUCCUUGGUCGUGCCCAAAUUUCUAUCUUCUGGGCCAUGCAAGAUGACCCUUCCUCUUUGCUAACUUAUAAUUUCCAGUGGAAAGACGAGUUUGAGAUCCUCGCAUUGCCGGACCACACCCGAGGAUCGGUUUUGUGGGUUCUCAAUAUCAACGAUGACGACGACGACAAGGUGCAUCUUGUUUGCUUGCAGGGCGACAACCUUCGCAUCUUUGCGGCAAGGCGGUAUGAUAGUCCCGACUGGGAGCUUCAGAAGAGCAUCCAAUUAAUGGAGGCUACCCGUGGACUAGAAGGGCACAAGGAUGAGUACUUUCGUCAGUCUACGAAGAUUGUCUCAACCAGCACGAGCUCUAUCGUGUUUUCUAUGGCAGAGGGGAAAUGGCUGUUUUCCAUCGACUUUGAGAGCAUGGAGGUGGCGAAAUACAAAUACAAGCCGCAUUCUUUUGAAACCGUAGCUUAUCCGUGUGAGCUUCCAUGGCUACCUGCCAUUCGUGCUUGUAUUGUGCCUUGUACUACUACCAGAUGGGGCAAUCGCAGAUGUUCUGGUAUUUGUAUAUGUCGAAGUCUCUAA
This 1341-nucleotide ribosomal RNA is filed under the name Triticum aestivum (bread wheat). RNAcentral's name for it is "partial small subunit ribosomal RNA". Lineage: Eukaryota; Viridiplantae; Streptophyta; Magnoliopsida; Poales; Poaceae. The record is from RNAcentral.